RNAcentral lists this transfer RNA (76 nucleotides) under Victivallales bacterium. Its description in RNAcentral is "tRNA-Thr". It matches the Rfam family "tRNA". From Rfam's summary of the family: Transfer RNA (tRNA) molecules are approximately 80 nucleotides in length. RNAcentral also lists the same sequence under 1 other name. Lineage: Bacteria; Pseudomonadati; Lentisphaerota; Lentisphaeria; Victivallales. The record is from RNAcentral.
GCCAGCAUAGCUCAGUUGGUAGAGCACUUGACUUGUAAUCAUGAGGUCACGGGUUCGACUCCCGUCGCUGGCUCCA